Non-coding RNA from Picea glauca (white spruce), 121 nucleotides. Lineage: Eukaryota; Viridiplantae; Streptophyta; Pinopsida; Pinales; Pinaceae. The record is from Rfam.
ACAUGACUACAACUUAGCGUUAAUGGACUAGAUCCCAUUUGAAAUAUGCAGUUAAGCGCACUCGGGUUAGAGUAGUAUUGAGAUGGGUGACCACCCGGGAAGUCCUAGUAUUUUACAUGCC